UGGGGAAUCUUGCACAAUGGGGGCAACCCUGAUGCAGCGACGCCGCGUGAGCGAUGAAGGUUUUCGAAUCGUAAAGCUCUGUCCUAUGGGAAGAUAAUGACGGUACCAUAGGAGGAAGCCCCGGCUAACUACGUGCCAGCAGCCGCGGUAAUACGUAGGGGGCGAGCGUUGUCCGGAAUUACUGGGCGUAAAGGGUUCGCAGGCGGCAUGGCAAGUCCGAUGUACAAGGCGAAGGCUCAACCUUCGUAAGCAUCGGAAACUGUCAAGCUUGAGUGAAGGAGAGGCAAGUGGAAUUCCUAGUGUAGCGGUGAAAUGCGUAGAGAUUAGGAGGAACACCGGUGGCGAAAGCGGCUUUUUGGCCUGCAACUGACACUGAGGCGCGAAAGCGUGGGGAGCAAACAGG
This 403-nucleotide ribosomal RNA is filed under the name Verrucomicrobiota bacterium. RNAcentral's name for it is "Verrucomicrobia bacterium partial 16S ribosomal RNA". It matches the Rfam family "Bacterial small subunit ribosomal RNA", at positions 355 to 776 of the family's 1533-position model. The record is from RNAcentral. Lineage: Bacteria; Pseudomonadati; Verrucomicrobiota.